GCGUGCAAGUGGGGGGUGGGUGGGCCCCAAGGCUGCUGGGUGAGCUGGGUGAGCUGCCAAUGCUGUCCUUUGUGUGUGAAGGACCGUGCUUCUCCCGGCGCGCGUCCCGUUUCCCGGAAGUGCCAGUAUCCGCCGCGGGCGGGCGCGGGACGUAUGGCCCCGCAGCAGCGUCCGCGCCACCCGAGGAGGCAGGCGCGCAGGUUGCCGCUGUUUCACGAGCCUAGAGCCUGCCAGCUCCUGUGCAGGCUCACCCAGACAGCUACGUGAAUGAGAGGAUGGAAUAGUUCUGGGCUGCAUCAUCGUAGGGAGUCAACGUUACUUUUGGCAAGUGCUGUCUUCCCUGGCAAUUGUGGUUCAUGGCUCAGCACUAACUCAGACCAUGUGGACCGCAGAUGAGAUUGCCCAGCUGUGUUACGAGCACUACAGGAGCAGGCUGCCCAAGCAGGGGAAGCCUGAGCCCAACCGUGAGUGGACGUUAUUAGCAGCUGUGGUGAAGAUAAAACCUGCAGCUGACCAGGCCUGCGGCGGCACUAACAGACGAGCACAAGUGACAAAGGAAGUUGUCUCAAUGGGAACAGGAACGAAAUGCAUAGGCCAGUCCAAAAUGAGGAAGAGCGGAGACAUCCUCAAUGAUAGCCAUGCUGAGGUCAUAGCCAGGAGGAGUUUCCAAAGGUACCUUCUCCAUCAGCUCCACUUGGCAGCCGCCCUGAAGGAGGAUAGCAUCUUUGUCCCUGGAACUCAGAGAGGGCUGUGGAAACUCAGACCAGACCUCUUGUUUGUGUUUUUCUCCAGCCAUACACCCUGUGGGGAUGCCUCCAUCAUUCCAAUGCUUGAGUUUGAAGAUCAGCCCUGCUGUCCUGUCCAUAGAGAUUGGGCCAAUAACCCAUCAGUAGAAGCCAGUGGUGAUCUGGAAGAUCCUGAAGAUAAAAAGAAAUGUGAAGACCUGGGUAGUCCUGUGGCCAAAAAGAUGAGGCAUGAGCCUGGGAUUCCUGACAGUGUGGCCCACCAUCAGAGUUUUGGCCAUCAGGAAAGUGGCCCAGUCCCACCAAGUGUCAGUGGCUCUCAUCUUACUGCAGAGGAACUGGCCGCUGUCACCGGAAUGGCCCCCAGUGGUGCCAAAGUGGUGGACGUUCAUAGAACCGGAGCCAAAUGUGUGCCAGGAGAAGCUGGAGACUCGGGGAAGCCUGGUGCUGCUUAUCACCAGGUGGGACUGCUCCGAGUGAAGCCCGGCCGGGGAGACCGGACUUGCUCCCUGUCCUGCAGUGACAAGCUGGCCCGGUGGAAUGUCCUCGGAUGCCAGGGGGCACUGUUGAUGCACCUUCUAGAAGAGCCCAUCUACCUGUCAGCCGUGGUGAUUGGGAGGUGCCCAUACAGCCAGGAGGCCAUGCAGAGAGCUCUGACUGGGAGGUGUCGGAACGUCUCAGCGCUACCCAAAGGCUUUGGAGUUCAGGAAGUGAAAAUAGAGCAGUCAGGUUUCCUGUUUGAACAGAGCCGCUGUGCAGUGCAGGCAAAAAGGGCUGAUGGCCCCGGCCGACUUGUUCCUUGUGGUGCAGCCAUCAGCUGGAGCGCAGUUCCUGAGCAGCCGCUGGAUGUCACUACCAAUGGUUUUCCGCAGGGAACAACGAAGAAAGCAAUCAGGUGCCUCCAGGCCAGAUCCCGAAUCAGCAAAGUGGAACUCUUUAGAUCAUUUCAGAGACUGCUAAGCAGUAUUUCAGAGGACAAAUGGCCAGACUCCCUCAGGACGCGGAAGCUGGAGACGUACCACGAAUACAAGGAGGCCGCGUCCGCUUACCAGGAAGCCUGGAGUGUGCUCCGAAAGCAGGCCUUUGGAUCUUGGAUCAGAAACCCACCAGAUUAUCACCAGUUCAAAUAAGAAGGGCAAACUGCAACAAGCUUGUUGGUAGCAGAGUGUUUUCCAGCUGUCCAUACUGGACUGCUGCUGCUUUUGUGCUGGACAAGCCUUAGCUUUUCUUGAGGCCGAGUCAGGAAAAAAAAAAAAAAAAAGAAAAGGUCUGCCAUCUACCAGAGUGACCUAUCUCUUCGGACAGAAUUCUGGAUCGUGGAACAAUCUAUCCUUGAUUGAAGUAGCUCCCUCUGCUAAAAUGGCAUCUGGCUGAUGACCUUGGCAUCUGUCCUAAAUUGUGUGUUAUUGCUUCUCUAAAAUACGGAAUAAGAAUUUGGAAUGUGAUGCUUUAAAAGGACUCUACAGUAGCUCCAUUUUGUGUUCCUACAUUGAUUUGGCAAGUAUUUAUGGGGCUGAGAUGAUGUUCAAAUCUCUGCAAGUUUUAGAGCUUCCUUUGGCGUAGUAGACAUGUUUUGUAUACCCAGCCUUUCUUCCUUGGGGGAGCCACCCUAUCCUGCUCUACCCAUGGGACUUGGUUGAAGCAAACCUUACUCCCUGGCUGUAGGAAUGGGAGCCAGCCCUGGACAGUCCCGGAACUGUGUGAGAGCUAGCAAGAAAGAGUCUCCUCUUGUACCAGGAACGGUAAGGGCCACCACACAGAGACGGGCAGCUUGAGAAUGAAGGCAAGAACGAAGGAAACCAAAAUCUGCCCCCGUGACCUUGUCCAGAUGCCAGUGCCCACCCUGGACUCCAAAGCCAUUGUGAACACCCUUCUGUCUUAGCCCAUCCGUAACUGCCAGGCAGAGAAAUCAGCUGGCAGCGGGAGAAUCUAGGCUUCGGGGCGACAGAGUGGCAGCACGGUCUCAACCAGGCUCCGGACGACAGCGCCCACUCACCUGUGCUGACACGGGCCGACCAGAUGGUGUCUCCCACCUCUUGGCGUCCUUCACAAAAGAUGAAGGCCCACAUGGGUUAGUAUGUUGUUUGCAUAUGCUUUGAAGGAAUUCUGUUCUAAAAUAAAGGAUGGUGCAGAAACUGUGGCGCAGGGGUUGCAAACCCAAGUAUUUCCAGGAGUAGAAAACUUAAAGUAGGUGGAGUGAACUGAGAAGUGUAUUCCUUGUCCAGUGAAGAGCCAUUAUUUUGUUCCAACUGAUUGUCGUCAGAUCUUAAGAAUUUUUUCAGGAGAAGCAGGAAAGUUGGAUUGUUACAUACAUGUCUGGGGGCCACGUAGAGACCCAGGCCUUCAGUGCGUAUCCUCUGGUCUAGCAGAACAAGGAUGGAUUUUGGCCAUUGGCCUGAGUCAGAACUCUGGGUCCAGGAUGUACUGGUGGUGUGAUCUCGGAUAGGUCAAUACAUUCGCAGAGUGUCCAUGUCCUCACUUUUGAAAUGAGGGCACCACUCCCACAGCUGGAGGGUCACAGGGAGACGAUGAGAUCAUGGACAACACGGGUGUGGGGAGGGCGGCCUGCCUGGCACACAGGGAACGCCAGCCUUGGUAUUUCAGCUCAUAAGUGACCCUUCAGUUUGCUGAUCCUGAUUCCCAGGGCGUUUGCUAAUCAACACGAGAGACUGUCCCUAGGAGAAGCCUACUGGGCCAGUGUUUGUGGAGCCUCCUGCUGCAUACCAGCCAUUGGCACGUUCGCUUGCCUGCGUCAUUCCCACAUCUGGAAGCCACAGCCCAUCUCUAGCUGUGCAGGGGGCAACGAAUCAAACCCGUUGAUCACAGAGGCCUAUGUAGAUCCUCCCACCUAACUCCUGUGGCUUUGCCUCCCUGAUGUCAACCACCAGGAUUGGUGUUUUCCUCCCUAAGGAAAUAAAGAUGAAAAGGGGAACUAAAUGCA
RNA transcript from Callorhinus ursinus (northern fur seal), 3684 nucleotides. It is a transcript of the gene named adenosine deaminase tRNA specific 1, with no coding region annotated. Lineage: Eukaryota; Metazoa; Chordata; Mammalia; Carnivora; Otariidae. The record is from RefSeq and is a predicted model, not a curated record.